RNAcentral lists this small RNA (227 nucleotides) under Loxodonta africana (African savanna elephant). RNAcentral's name for it is "7SK RNA (ENSLAFG00000032966.1)". Lineage: Eukaryota; Metazoa; Chordata; Mammalia; Proboscidea; Elephantidae. The record is from RNAcentral.
GGAAAAGCCACACCUCUUUCAGUGCUCCACAUUUGUCCCUCCCAAAGCCAUAUACAGAUGAAGAGGACAAGGCCUACCUUGGUGGGGGAGAAGGAACUAUCCUUCAGUCAAAGUUAGAUGAGGCCUCCUGCUUCUUGUUAGAAACUCAAAAUACUCUCAGGGCUCAUGUUUAAGAUGAAUGAUGUACAAUAUAAAAACCACUGAAAUCUUCAGAAGAAUAACAGUUU